This 78-nucleotide transfer RNA is filed under the name Caldimonas mangrovi. RNAcentral's name for it is "tRNA-Arg". It matches the Rfam family "tRNA". Rfam says of the family: Transfer RNA (tRNA) molecules are approximately 80 nucleotides in length. Their secondary structure includes four short double-helical elements and three loops (D, anti-codon, and T loops). Lineage: Bacteria; Pseudomonadati; Pseudomonadota; Betaproteobacteria; Burkholderiales; Sphaerotilaceae. The record is from RNAcentral.
GCCUCUUUAGCUCAGUUGGAUCAGAGCACCGGUCUACGAAGCCGGAGGUCGCACGUUUGAGUCGUGCAGGAGGCGCCA